This 1087-nucleotide long non-coding RNA is filed under the name Selaginella moellendorffii. RNAcentral describes it as "long non-coding RNA (SMOE_LNC001160)". Lineage: Eukaryota; Viridiplantae; Streptophyta; Lycopodiopsida; Selaginellales; Selaginellaceae. The record is from RNAcentral.
CCUUCGUGAGUAUAUCAGCCACCAUUGCCUCCAUUUUGGACUUGUUCCCCGAUGUGUUUCGUCCGAGAAUGGAAGCGAGGAUUGGCGGCCAGUGCAAGAGCACUUUGGUUGUCCGGGAACAUGGAAUCCGGGGCAGGUCACGGCAGAACGGUCAACCGAAUCGCUUCUUUGCUGGCAGCGGUUAGGACAAUGUACUCUGCCUCUGUCGAGAACAGAGCCACCAGCGGCUGGCGCAUACUGCUCCAGGACACAGCAGCCCCAUGGAGCAAGAAGGGAGAGCGCCUUGAGUCCUGGUCGCCCGCCCAGUCCGCAUCCGAGUACCCAUGAAGUUCCUGUGACACAGCAGCGCCAUAGUGAAGCUGCAAAUGCAAGGUACCUCGAACGUAGUGGAAAAUCCGCUUCACAGCUUGCCAAUGUGUAGGUCCGGGGUUCUCGAGGAACUGGGAGACCAUCCCAACAGCAUAGGCGAGAUCUGGUCGCGUCCCCAGCAUCAAAUAAACGAGACUCCCCACAGCUUGACGAUAAGGCACCGUGGCCAUGUACUCUCGUUCUUCCUCUGUGACAGGGGCCAUGUCACGGCUGAGUUUGUGAUUGACGUCAAGAGGUGUGGCCACGGGAGAACAGUCCAGCAUAUUGAAGCGUUCGAAGAUCUCCCUUGCAUAGUGAGCUUGUGUCAAGCUCAAAGUGCGUGCUCCUCGAUUGCGUAUAAUUUGGAUGCCAAGGAAAUGGCGAAGCUCGCCCAGGUCAGACAUCUCAAAUUCUUCACUCAUCUUCUUUUUCAUCUCGUCCAGCAGGUGGCGGGUUUUUGCACCGAGAAUGCAGUCAUCAACGUACACAGCAACCAGGAGAAAAUCGUCACCACACUUGUACAGGUACACGUUUCCUUCCACUGCAAGAGGAACACACCCCAGGCUCUUGAGAAACGCAUCAAUGCGUUCAAACCAAACCCUCGGGGAUUGUUUAAGCCCAUACAGGGUGCGAUUCAGCUUGCAAACAAGAUGUUUCUCACCAGGUUUGACGAAUCCAGGUGGUUGCGUGAUGUAGACCUCGUUCAACUUGCCGUGCAGGAAAGCAGUGCGAACGUCCA